Molecule: long non-coding RNA, 268 nt
Organism: Octopus sinensis (East Asian common octopus)
Lineage: Eukaryota; Metazoa; Mollusca; Cephalopoda; Octopoda; Octopodidae
Exons: 3
Source: RefSeq, a predicted model, not a curated record
ACAUGCCCAAUAACAAGAACAAAACACCUCAGAGGAGGAAUUCUUGGCAGUCGGCACAAUAAAUGUGCAUGAGAUGGGAAAUGACGACCAGAGAAAAAAUGAGGCAUACACAACAAUAAGAAUACAGAAGAAGUCUGGCAGGAAACGAAUAAACAUAGACUUAAGGCUAAAGAUUGACACUGGAGCCCAGAGUGAUAUCUUACCUGUCAACCUCAACAAAAAGAUGUUCCUAGAACACAUAACACAAGAGGAUAUGGUCAAAGGAAUC